GCCAGACUCCUACGGGAGGCAGCAGUGGGGAAUAUUGCACAAUGGGGGAAACCCUGAUGCAGCGACGCCGCGUGAGUGAAGAAGUAUUUCGGUAUGUAAAGCUCUAUCAGCAGGGAAGAAAAUGACGGUACCUGACUAAGAAGCCCCGGCUAACUACGUGCCAGCAGCCGCGGUAAUACGUAGGGGGCAAGCGUUAUCCGGAUUUACUGGGUGUAAAGGGAGCGUAGACGGCAGCGCAAGUCUGGAGUGAAAUCCCAGGGCUUAACCAUGGAACUGCUUUGGAAACUGUGCAGCUGGAGUGCAGGAGAGGUAAGCGGAAUUCCUAGUGUAGCGGUGAAAUGCGUAGAUAUUAGGAGGAACACCGGUGGCGAAGGCGGCUUACUGGACUGUAACUGACGUUGAGGCUCGAAAGCGUGGGGAGCAAACAGGAUUAGAUACCCUCGUAA
This 446-nucleotide ribosomal RNA is filed under the name uncultured bacterium. RNAcentral describes it as "bacterial SSU rRNA". It matches the Rfam family "Bacterial small subunit ribosomal RNA", at positions 330 to 793 of the family's 1533-position model. The record is from RNAcentral.